AUUGACCGCUGGCGUCAGGCCUCACACAUGCAAGUCGAACGAGUGGCGGACGUGUGAGUAAUGUCUGGGAAACUGCCUGAUGGAGGGGGAUAACUACUGGAAACGGUAGCUAAUACCGCAUACCAUCGGAUGUUCCCCGAUGGGUUUAGCUAGUAGGUUGGGUAACGACUCACCUAGGCGCCGAUCCCUAGCUGGUCUGAGAGGAUGACCAGAGACACUGGACUUAGGACACGAUCCAGACUCCUGCGGGAGGCAGCAGUGGAGAAUAUUGCCCUAUUGGCUCAAGCCUGAUUCAGCCAUGCCGCGUGUAUGAAGAAGUCCUCAGGGUUGUAAAGUACUUUCAGCGGGGAGGCGUUACCCGCAGAAGAAGCACCGGCUAACUCCGUGCCAGCAGCCGCGGUUAUUC
This 406-nucleotide ribosomal RNA is filed under the name uncultured bacterium. Its description in RNAcentral is "partial 16S ribosomal RNA". It matches the Rfam family "Bacterial small subunit ribosomal RNA", at positions 30 to 526 of the family's 1533-position model. The record is from RNAcentral.